CCCCCAUGUCCCACUGCCAUGUCUUUCAGGCUCUUGGGCUGUGUGGUGCUGUGUCUCCUGGGAGCAGGCCCAGUGGAAGCUGGAGUGACCCAGACCCCGAGACAUUUCAUCACAAGGACAGGAAGGCAGUUGACACUGUAUUGUUCUCAAGAUAUGGACCAUGAUGCAAUGUACUGGUAUCGACAAGACCCAGGAGUGGGUCUGAAGCUGAUCUACUUUUCAAGAAACGUUGACUUUAUUGAAGAUGGAGAUGUCCCGGAUGGGUACAGUGUCUUGCGGAAAGAGAAGAAGGACUUCCCCUUGACCCUAAAGUCCACAGGCACGAACCAGACCUCUUUGUACCUCUGUGCCAGUAGUGUAUCCACGGGACAGGGGGAUGAUUUUACCUUCGGCCCAGGGACCAAGCUGACAGUUGUCGACAAUGUGGAAAAGGUCAAACCUCCCACGGUCACAGUGUUUGAACCAUCGGAAGCAGAGACCUCCCGAACCCAGAAGGCCACACUCGUGUGCCUGGCCACCGGCUUCUACCCCGACCACGUGGAGCUGAGCUGGUGGGUGAAUGGGAAGGAGGUCCAGAAUGGGGUCAGCACGGACCCUCAGCCCUACAGGGAGCGGCUGGAUGAGAAUGACUCCAGCUACUGUCUGAGCAGCCGGCUGAGGGUGUCCUCUACCUUCUGGCACAACCCUCRUAACCACUUUCGCUGCCAAGUCCAGUUCCACGGGCUCGGGGACGAUGACGAGUGGCCCAACGACAAACGGACCAAACCCGUCACCCAGAUCGUCAGUGCCGAGGCCUGGGGCAGAGCAGACUGUGGCUUCACUUCGGUGUCCUAUCAGCAGGGCAUCCUGUCUGCCACCAUCCUCUAUGAGAUCCUGCUGGGGAAGGCCACCCUGUAUGCUGUGCUGGUCAGUGCCCUGGUGCUGAUGGCCAAGGUCAAGAGAAAGGGUUCCUGAGACCAGCUCAGAAAAUGCACCCUGAAUUGCUCAUCAUCCUCCCUGAGAUUCUCCCUAACGUGCUCUAGUCUGCAUUUCUAGAAGUUAAUCUCUCUCCACCUCUUAUCUCCUUCUUGCUGGGAUAUCUGUCCCUUCUCUCUGCUUUCCUGCAGACUGAGUUCCUCAACCCUGAAACGGAAAUAGACUAAAACAAUAAAAGUGUCCUGCCAGGCCA
Lontra canadensis (Northern American river otter) is the source of this 1168-nucleotide non-coding RNA. NCBI's taxonomy places the organism in Eukaryota, Metazoa, Chordata, Mammalia, Carnivora, Mustelidae. The record is from the annotation of a RefSeq genome assembly.